Non-coding RNA from Phytophthora infestans T30-4, 76 nucleotides. Lineage: Eukaryota; Oomycota; Peronosporomycetes; Peronosporales; Peronosporaceae. The record is from the annotation of a RefSeq genome assembly.
GGCUUCGUGGCGCAGUGGUCAAUGCGUAUGGCUUCCAGUCAGGACGCCAGGGUUCGAUUCCCACCAGGCGGAUCCU